GACGAACGCUGGCGGCGUGCUUAACACAUGCAAGUCGAACGGAAGGGCCCUGCUUGCAGGGUACUCGAGUGGCGAACGGGUGAGUAACACGUGGGUGAUCUGCCCUGCACUUCGGGUUAAGCCUGGGAAACUGGGUCUAAUACCGGAUAGGAGCCAUUUUUAGUGUGAUGGUUGGAAAGUUUUUUCGGUGUAGGAUGAGCUCGCGGCCUAUCAGCUUGUUGGUGGGGUAAUGGCCUACCAAGGCGGCGACGGGUAGCCGGCCUGAGAGGGUGGACGGCCACAUUGGGACUGAGAUACGGCCCAGACUCCUACGGGAGGCAGCAGUGGGGAAUAUUGCACAAUGGGCGCAAGCCUGAUGCAGCGACGCCGCGUGGGGGAUGACGGCCUUCGGGUUGUAAACUCCUUUCGCUAGGGACGAAGCUUUUUGUGACGGUACCUAGAUAAGAAGCACCGGCUAACUACGUG
This 465-nucleotide ribosomal RNA is filed under the name uncultured bacterium. RNAcentral describes it as "partial 16S ribosomal RNA". It matches the Rfam family "Bacterial small subunit ribosomal RNA", at positions 28 to 507 of the family's 1533-position model. The record is from RNAcentral.